This 916-nucleotide long non-coding RNA is filed under the name Equus caballus (horse). RNAcentral describes it as "lncRNA (ENSECAG00000046952.1)". Lineage: Eukaryota; Metazoa; Chordata; Mammalia; Perissodactyla; Equidae. The record is from RNAcentral.
AUGACAGACAUCCCUAGUGCUGGCCUGUGGAUUCCCUGUCCCUGUGUCCUGCCCACCUUUGGGAUGUGGGACAAUCUUGGGUUAGACUUCUCCAGAGCUGAAGGCUCACCUGGUUGGGCUGGGGUGAAGCGCCUGGUGGUUCUGAUUCUAUACGCCUGUGCACAAUUAGAUCCUGCUUGCACAGAAUGGGGAAGCCAAGAAUCCAAGAACAUCGAGGUCUUCCUGGAGUUCCUUGUUACCCGUGAUCCAAAGGAGCAAGGGCGGCCCUGGCCCGCAGCAGAGGCAGGGAAGCGAGCAGGCCUCCCUGGCAGCCUGGCCCGUGUCCCUGGACCAGCCCUCGUGCAUUCCGAGCAGCAGGGCCUGGACACUUGCUGAAUCCUUUGAAGCUGGAGAGCUGCUUGGGUGGGGGCUGUGUCUGCGUGGGGCACAUUUUUUUUCUCAUUGCCAAGAAUUUCCGCUUCCAACGGCAUUCGUCUUUCCCAGGAACUCCCUUCAGCAAAAAGAGAAAAGAAAAAGGAAACAGAAGAAACCCUCCCUGAACAAGGAGACUUUCUUUCUCUGUCAGUCCCUGAUAAGAAAAGUGUUCUGCCAAUCGUGGCAUCCUGUUCUGAACCUGCCCUGCUCCUCUCGCCCUGGCCAGGCCCUCGGGCUUCUCUGGGUGUGAUUCACGACAGUGGGGGCUCGGUGGCCUUCGGGUGAUUGCUCCAAGGUCAGCCGUAGAUGAACUUUUGGGACUUGGGGACAUGAAUUCAAGCUGUCAGCCAAGUGUGCAAAAUUGCUCCGCUGAGGCUGAUUAGCUUCUUCUCUCAAGCACUCUCUGAAUCUCUUUCUCCCAUCGUAAUAACAACUUAGACACAUUGCCGGCUAGACAUUAACAGAGAUAGAAAUGACCAUACCAUCUUUUCUAUUCUAAGAU